UUCAUCGCGAUGGGAGAACCGGCCUUGCCGGUGCCGAAGGAGCAACCGCCCCGGAAACUCUCAGGCCAAAAGGACCGUCGCGGUGAA
This 87-nucleotide non-coding RNA is filed under the name Salipiger profundus. Its description in RNAcentral is "Thiobacimonas profunda Glycine sequence". It matches the Rfam family "Glycine riboswitch aptamer". Rfam says of the family: This family represents the bacterial glycine riboswitch. Glycine riboswitches usually consist of two metabolite-binding aptamers domains with similar structures in tandem. The record is from Rfam by way of RNAcentral. Lineage: Bacteria; Pseudomonadati; Pseudomonadota; Alphaproteobacteria; Rhodobacterales; Roseobacteraceae.